UGGGGAAUUUUCCGCAAUGGGCGAAAGCCUGACGGAGCAAUACCGCGUGAGGGAGGAAGGCUCUUGGGUUGUAAACCUCUUUUCUCAGGGAAGAAGUUCUGACGGUACCUGAGGAAUCAGCAUCGGCUAACUCCGUGCCAGCAGCCGCGGUAAUACGGAGGAUGCAAGCGUUAUCCGGAAUGAUUGGGCGUAAAGCGUCCGCAGGUGGCUGUGUAAGUCUGCUGUCAAAGAACGAGGCUCAACCUUGUCAGGGCAGUGGAAACUACACGGCUAGAGUGCGUUCGGGGCAGAGGGAAUUCCUGGUGUAGCGGUGAAAUGCGUAGAUAUCAGGAAGAACACCGGUGGCGAAAGCGCUCUGCUAGGCCGCAACUGACACUCAUGGACGAAAGCUAGGGGAGCGAAUGG
This 405-nucleotide ribosomal RNA is filed under the name uncultured bacterium. Its description in RNAcentral is "bacterial SSU rRNA". It matches the Rfam family "Bacterial small subunit ribosomal RNA", at positions 355 to 775 of the family's 1533-position model. The record is from RNAcentral.